RNAcentral lists this small RNA (109 nucleotides) under Marmota monax (woodchuck). Lineage: Eukaryota; Metazoa; Chordata; Mammalia; Rodentia; Sciuridae. The record is from RNAcentral.
GCUGGGUGCAGUGGUGUGUGCCUGUAGUCCCAGCUACUCGAGAGGCAGAAAGAGGAUCACUCGAGCCCAGGAAUUCCAGGCCAGCCUCGGCAACAGAGUGAGACCCCAU